This 253-nucleotide ribosomal RNA is filed under the name uncultured bacterium. RNAcentral describes it as "partial 16S ribosomal RNA". It matches the Rfam family "Bacterial small subunit ribosomal RNA", at positions 524 to 776 of the family's 1533-position model. The record is from RNAcentral.
UACGUAGGGGGCAAGCGUUGUCCGGAUUUAUUGGGCGUAAAGAGCGUGUAGGCGGCCAAGCAGGUCCGCUGUGAAAACUCGAGGCUCAACCUCGAGACGUCGGUGGAAACCGUUUGGCUAGAGUCCGGAAGAGGAGAGUGGAAUUCCCGGUGUAGCGGUGAAAUGCGCAGAUAUCGGGAAGAACACCCGUGGCGAAGGCGGCUCUCUGGGACGGUACCGACGCUGAGACGCGAAAGCGUGGGGAGCGAACAGG